CUCCAGAGUUUUUUGUUUAUACAAUGUUUCUGUUGUUAUAAUAGUUGCAUUCUCAAUCUUGCUAAUUUUAUUCUUUAUCAGUUUACAUAUUUUCCAAAGUUUCUUUAAAAUCUCCUCUUUCAACUAUUUUUGUAGUAAUAAAGAACUAAUGGGAUGACCUUCAUUUGGGAAAUGGCUGAACAAAUUGUGGUAUACAAAGUAAUCAAAUGCUAUCACACUAUAAUGAAUUCAUUGUAUUUCAAUAGUUCAGAAGAAAGUCUAUUAUUUUACACGAUGAAUUACUUUUUUCCUAUACAAAUGUAAGAAAUGGUACUAAGGUCUUAGGUCUACAAAACCUGACAUAAUCAAUAAUCAAAAUAACUAUCAUUGAUGUAAUGCUUUAAAGUUUGCAGAAUCUUUACAAUUUUUAUAUCAUUUUAUCCUUAUAAUACCUCUGAAAGGCAGGUGCUAUUAUUAUCAUCUUAAUUUUACAGAUAAGGAAUCUGAGGCAGAUGGAUAUUAAGGAACUUACCCAAGAUCAUACUUUAAGCGGUGUGAUAUCAUGGACAGAGAACUAGUCUUGGGGGUAGGAAGAUCUGAGUUCAAAUCCAGACUCUGACAUAUACUGACUGUGUGAUCUUAGGGACUUUUCCAAAAUGACUCCUUUGAUGAACAGUACAUCUUUGGCUAUUUCCAGCAAAGCAGUUUACCCUCUGAGGCCCUUGCUGUCAGCUCUGCGCUCAUACAUCCAUGCCCUGCUGUCGAGCUUGACAGCCUUCUAUUGUUCAUUCACUGCUUCCACCUCACCAGUUAAUGAGAAUAGAACAAAAGUACCUGACAGGAAAUUGAAAACCAAGAAUAAAGAACCCUUACAGGAGAAUAUAAGCUCAUUGGAGAAGAGAAUGUUUUAAUUUGGCAUUUUAAUCAUCAAUAUCUACAACAGGGCUUUGGAUAUAUAACAAGUGAAGAAUCUGAACCUUAGAGGGGAAAGUGACUUGCUUUAACAAUG
RNAcentral lists this long non-coding RNA (988 nucleotides) under Monodelphis domestica (gray short-tailed opossum). RNAcentral describes it as "lncRNA (ENSMODG00000031154.2)". Lineage: Eukaryota; Metazoa; Chordata; Mammalia; Didelphimorphia; Didelphidae. The record is from RNAcentral.